CCGACCCACCACUAGUAGAAAAAUUAAAAAUGCCACCGCUUAAAGGCCAUCGGUUUUUAUAAACCGGUGGUUUAUAAAAUGGGCGGGUAUAAGGCAAAUAUUAUUGCCACCGGUUCAAACCGAACCAGUGGAAAAAAUGUUUAAGGCCACCGGUUUUGAACCGGUGGCAAUAUUUGAUUAAAAAAAAAAGCGCGGCCCUUCUUCUUCAUAUAAACCCCAAACCCUACUCUCUCACCCUCUCAGCCGUUUCUCUCUCCCCUCUUCCCUCUCCUCCUCUUUCUCUCUCCUCUCUUUCUCAUCUCCUUCAAUCGGUCUUCUCCUUCGAUCUGCACCACCACCACCACCUCUUCUCAUUCUAUCUCCACCACUAUCUCUUCUCCCUCAAUCUCCACCACCAUCUCUUCUCCCUCGAUCUCACCACCACCUCUUCUCCUUCGAUCUCCACCACCACCACCAAUUUUUCCACCACCCCCGCAACAAUAACACCACCGCCGCUAAAAUAACACCACGAACACAUGCAUGAGCAACACCGACUUUAAUCGAGGUGUUAAUUGAUGCAACAAGAUUCAAGACUUUGAUUUUGGAAUAAUGUUUUUGAUAUUGUAAUUAUUAUUAUAUAUAUUUUUUAUUUUGUAUUGUACAAUAAUAAUUUGAAGUUGAAUUUCAUUGUUAUUAUAAUUCA
Molecule: long non-coding RNA, 682 nt
Organism: Chenopodium quinoa (quinoa)
Lineage: Eukaryota; Viridiplantae; Streptophyta; Magnoliopsida; Caryophyllales; Amaranthaceae
Exons: 2
Source: RefSeq, a predicted model, not a curated record